Molecule: ribosomal RNA, 449 nt
Filed under: uncultured bacterium
Lineage: Bacteria
Description: bacterial SSU rRNA
Rfam family: Bacterial small subunit ribosomal RNA
Source: RNAcentral
GUAGGGAAUCUUCCGCAAUGGGCGAAAGCCUGACGGAGCAACGCCGCGUGAGUGAUGAAGGUUUUCGGAUCGUAAAGCUCUGUUGCCAGGGAAGAACGUCCGGUAGAGUAACUGCUACCGGAGUGACGGUACCUGAGAAGAAAGCCCCGGCUAACUACGUGCCAGCAGCCGCGGUAAUACGUAGGGGGCAAGCGUUGUCCGGAAUUAUUGGGCGUAAAGCGCGCGCAGGCGGCUAUUUAAGUCUGGUGUUUAAACCUUGGGCUCAACCUGAGGUCGCACUGGAAACUGGGUGGCUUGAGUACAGAAGAGGAAAGUGGAAUUCCACGUGUAGCGGUGAAAUGCGUAGAUAUGUGGAGGAACACCAGUGGCGAAGGCGACUUUCUGGGCUGUAACUGACGCUGAGGCGCGAAAGCGUGGGGAGCAAACAGGAUUAGAAACCCUUGUAGUCC